RNAcentral lists this long non-coding RNA (377 nucleotides) under Hordeum vulgare. RNAcentral's name for it is "long non-coding RNA (HVUL_LNC009060)". Lineage: Eukaryota; Viridiplantae; Streptophyta; Magnoliopsida; Poales; Poaceae. The record is from RNAcentral.
GGAUCUGGUUCUGAUGAAUCUCAUGGUCAAAGGCGCAUAAAUUUUCAACUCGAAUGGAGACAACACAUUGUUGGCCAAAGUCCUCAAGAAGAACUUGUGAAGGUUCACUUUGAUUACAUGAAUGACGUUGAACAUUAUGUUCUUCAUGAUCCCGACAACAUCUUCUUCAUUACCAUGUGCUUGGAUAGGUGCGAAGGAAUAUGCCAACAUCAUGUAGACUGUUCUGGGCACAUACUUUAAUUCCUUCACCAGGAAUCUAGUCCUUGGAGGUUGGUGAUACGUCUCCAACGUAUCUAUAAUUUUUGAUGGUUUCAUGCUAUUAUCUUGUCGGAUGUUUUGUAUACCUUUUAUAUAUUUUUUGGGACUAACUUAUUAAC